ACCCUGUCAGGAUCACACCUGGAGAGUUUCCUGUCCUCUACCAGUCUCGGCUAUGGGAGGGAGAGUGAAGCGGAGGCCUACCCAUUCCAUUCCUGGCUUGGCCAGUGGCUAGUGAGUGGCAGGCAAUCUGCUACAGGU
Tachyglossus aculeatus (Australian echidna) is the source of this 138-nucleotide small nucleolar RNA. Lineage: Eukaryota; Metazoa; Chordata; Mammalia; Monotremata; Tachyglossidae. The record is from RefSeq and is a predicted model, not a curated record.